Molecule: ribosomal RNA, 496 nt
Filed under: uncultured bacterium
Lineage: Bacteria
Description: partial 16S ribosomal RNA
Rfam family: Bacterial small subunit ribosomal RNA
Source: RNAcentral
GAUGAACGCUGGCGGCGUGCCUAAUACAUGCCAGUCGAGCGAACAGACGAGGAGCUUGCUCCUCUGACGUUAGCGGCGGACGGGUGAGUAACACGUGGAUAACCUACCUAUAAGACUGGGAUAACUUCGGGAAACCGGAGCUAAUACCGGAUAAUAUAUUGAACCGCAUGGUUCAAUAGUGAAAGACGGUUUUGCUGUCACUUAUAGAUGGAUCCGCGCCGCAUUAGCUAGUUGGUAAGGUAACGGCUUACCAAGGCAACGAUGCGUAGCCGACCUGAGAGGGGGAUCGGCCACACUGGAACUGAGACACGGUCCAGACUCCUACGGGAGGCAGCAGUAGGGAAUCUUCCGCAAUGGGCGAAAGCCUGACGGAGCAACGCCGCGUGAGUGAAGAAGGUCUUCGGAUCGUAAAACUCUGUUAUUAGGGAAGAACAAAUGUGUAAGUAACUAUGCACGUCUGGACGGUACCUAAGCAGAAAGCCACGGCUAACUACGG